GACGUUGGAACACCAAUUCCAGUACGAUCACCGAUGUUAAGCAACGUCGAGCCAGGUCAGUACCUAGAUGGGUGAUUACUUGGGAAUACCAAGUGCUGU
Non-coding RNA from Acanthosepion pharaonis, 99 nucleotides. NCBI's taxonomy places the organism in Eukaryota, Metazoa, Mollusca, Cephalopoda, Sepiida, Sepiidae. The record is from the annotation of a GenBank genome assembly.